GGUGAUGUGGCUCAGUGGCAGAGCUCUUGCCUUGCAUGUGCAAGGCCCUGGGUUUGAUCCCCAGCACCACAC
Molecule: transfer RNA, 72 nt
Filed under: Cavia porcellus (domestic guinea pig)
Lineage: Eukaryota; Metazoa; Chordata; Mammalia; Rodentia; Caviidae
Rfam family: tRNA
About the family: Transfer RNA (tRNA) molecules are approximately 80 nucleotides in length. Their secondary structure includes four short double-helical elements and three loops (D, anti-codon, and T loops).
Source: Rfam by way of RNAcentral